AGAGCGAACGCUGGCGGCAGGCCUAAUACAUGCAAGUCGAACGGAUCCUUCGGGAUUAGUGGCGGACGGGUGAGUAACACGUGGGAACGUGCCCUUUGGUUCGGAACAACUCAGGGAAACUUGAGCUAAUACCGGAUGUGCCCUUCGGGGGAAAGAUUUAUCGCCAUUGGAGCGGCCCGCGUCUGAUUAGCUAGUUGGUGGGGUAAAGGCCCACCAAGGCGACGAUCAGUAGCUGGUCUGAGAGGAUGAUCAGCCACACUGGGACUGAGACACGGCCCAGACUCCUACGGGAGGCAGCAGUAGGGAAUCUUGCGCAAUGGGCGAAAGCCUGACGCAGCCAUGCCGCGUGAAUGAUGAAGGUCUUAGGAUUGUAAAAUUCUUUCAGCGGGGACGAUAAUGACGGUACCCGCAGAAGAAGCCCCGGCUAACUUCGUGCCAGCAGCCGC
RNAcentral lists this ribosomal RNA (446 nucleotides) under uncultured bacterium. RNAcentral describes it as "SSU rRNA". It matches the Rfam family "Bacterial small subunit ribosomal RNA", at positions 26 to 518 of the family's 1533-position model. The record is from RNAcentral.